This 594-nucleotide ribosomal RNA is filed under the name Shigella flexneri. RNAcentral's name for it is "bacterial SSU rRNA". It matches the Rfam family "Bacterial small subunit ribosomal RNA", at positions 202 to 779 of the family's 1533-position model. Lineage: Bacteria; Pseudomonadati; Pseudomonadota; Gammaproteobacteria; Enterobacterales; Enterobacteriaceae. The record is from RNAcentral.
AAGAGGGGGACCUUCGGGCCUCUUGCCAUCGGAUGUGCCCAGAUGGGAUUAGCUAGUAGGUGGGGUAACGGCUCACCUAGGCGACGAUCCCUAGCUGGUCUGAGAGGAUGACCAGCCACACUGGAACUGAGACACGGUCCAGACUCCUACGGGAGGCAGCAGUGGGGAAUAUUGCACAAUGGGCGCAAGCCUGAUGCAGCCAUGCCGCGUGUAUGAAGAAGGCCUUCGGGUUGUAAAGUACUUUCAGCGGGGAGGAAGGGAGUAAAGUUAAUACCUUUGCUCAUUGACGUUACCCGCAGAAGAAGCACCGGCUAACUCCGUGCCAGCAGCCGCGGUAAUACGGAGGGUGCAAGCGUUAAUCGGAAUUACUGGGCGUAAAGCGCACGCAGGCGGUUUGUUAAGUCAGAUGUGAAAUCCCCGGGCUCAACCUGGGAACUGCAUCUGAUACUGGCAAGCUUGAGUCUCGUAGAGGGGGGUAGAAUUCCAGGUGUAGCGGUGAAAUGCGUAGAGAUCUGGAGGAAUACCGGUGGCGAAGGCGGCCCCCUGGACGAAGACUGACGCUCAGGUGCGAAAGCGUGGGGAGCAAACAGGAUU